AUAUAUGACCAAGUCAGCCUGAAUGUGCCUGAUGUCGCCGGAUGUCAGAAGCUAAGCAGGCUUGAGUCUGGUUGGUAACUGUACAGAAGACUGCCUGCCAAUACCAGGUGUUCUAGGCU
This 119-nucleotide ribosomal RNA is filed under the name Petromyzon marinus (sea lamprey). Lineage: Eukaryota; Metazoa; Chordata; Hyperoartia; Petromyzontiformes; Petromyzontidae. The record is from RNAcentral.